GUAUUACUGAGGAGUCCGAUAAUAGGACAAAAUGGCCAUCCAGUAC
Molecule: non-coding RNA, 46 nt
Filed under: Schistosoma bovis
Lineage: Eukaryota; Metazoa; Platyhelminthes; Trematoda; Strigeidida; Schistosomatidae
Also listed under: 1 other name
Source: RNAcentral